Molecule: long non-coding RNA, 543 nt
Filed under: Equus asinus (donkey)
Lineage: Eukaryota; Metazoa; Chordata; Mammalia; Perissodactyla; Equidae
Description: lncRNA (ENSEASG00005025094.1)
Source: RNAcentral
UUCCGCUGCAGGAGGUUGAGGUCGCGGCCUUCGUUUCUCCCGGGGAGGCUUUGGGGCCCGCUGCUUCAUGGACCUUGUCGUCUUCUCCUCGGAGCGCCCAGCACGAGGUCGGCCGAGGGAAGUUACUCAGUGAGUAAGUGUGAUUCGUGUAGCUGUUCAAAAGGGUGUGACAGCCUGGGAGUAGAGAACAAAAUAGAAAUACUGUCCGUGUCCGUCUUCCUUGUCUUUUAUCUCGCUUGCUUUCGGUGGGCUGUAGAAUCCAGCAGCUUUUUCAGAGUAUUCCAAAGUUGAGGUAUCAUUAUGCCUCAUAUUGUCAUGAUCUAAAACAAAUCCCCUUAGAAACAAUUCAGCGUUAGUGCUCAAUUUUUUGUUUCUUGGUUGGGGAUCGUAAUGGGGAUGUGAGAAUAGCUGACAUUUGUUGGGCACCUCUCAUGACUCAGAAUUUCCGAUGCUUUCUGUCUGCUAACUCAUUUAUUUUUUCAUAACAAUGCUAUUAUUCUCAUUUUUAAAGUGAAGAAACAGGCGCAGACAAUUGAAUAAACG